This 354-nucleotide ribosomal RNA is filed under the name Dermacentor auratus. RNAcentral's name for it is "partial small subunit ribosomal RNA". Lineage: Eukaryota; Metazoa; Arthropoda; Arachnida; Ixodida; Ixodidae. The record is from RNAcentral.
CUGAAUAUUGUAAGUAUAUAUAAAUUAUGAAAGCAAAAUAUUAUGGCGGUAUUCUAAGCUUUUCAGAGGAAUUUGCUCUUUAAUGGAUAAAACACCUCAAUCUUACUUUAAUUAGUUAAGUCAAUUUGUAUACCACUAUUAAAAUAAUAAUGAAAGAUUAUUAUUAUAACAUAAAAAAUUCAUAAAAAAUUAAGUCAAGGUGCAGUAAAAAUUAAAGAAUGAAGUGAAUUACAUUGCUUUAAAGAAAGAAAAAAUGAAAUAUUUUAUAUAGGAUUUGAAAGUAAAAUUAAAAUAGGAAGUUAAUUUGAAAAAAGCUCUAGAAUAUGUACACAUCGCCCGUCGCUCUCAUUUAUA